RNAcentral lists this ribosomal RNA (513 nucleotides) under uncultured Glomus. RNAcentral's name for it is "SSU rRNA". It matches the Rfam family "Eukaryotic small subunit ribosomal RNA", at positions 569 to 1081 of the family's 1831-position model. The record is from RNAcentral. Lineage: Eukaryota; Fungi; Glomeromycota; Glomeromycetes; Glomerales; Glomeraceae.
AGCAGCCGCGGUAAUUCCAGCUCCAAUAGCGUAUAUUAAAGUUGUUGCAGUUAAAAGGCUCGUAGUUGAAUUUCGGGGUCAGCAGGUCGGUCGUGCCACUGGUAUGCACUGGCCUUGCUGAUUCCUCCCUCUUGAUGAGCCGUAAUGCCAUUAAUUUGGUGUUGCGGGGAACCAGGACUGUUACUUUGAAAAAAUUAGAGUGUUUAAAGCAGGCAAGCGCUUGAAUACAUUAGCAUGGAAUAAUGAAAUAGGACGUUUGAUCCUAUUUUGUUGGUUUCUAGGAUUGACGUAAUGAUUAAUAGGGAUAGUUGGGGGCAUUAGUAUUCAAUUGUCAGAGGUGAAAUUCUUGGAUUUAUCGAAGACUAACUACUGCGAAAGCAUUUGCCAAGGAUGUUUUCAUUAAUCAAGAACGAAAGUUAGGGGAGUCGAAGACGAUCAGAUACCGUCGUAGUCUUAACCAUAAACUAUAGCCGACUAGGGAUCGGGAUGAUGUUAAUUUUUAAUGACUCAUUC